UGAGGAAUUUUCCGCAAUGAGCGAAAGCUUGACGGAGCAAUACCGCGUGAGGGAAGAAUGCUUGUGGGUUGUAAACCUCUUUUUUCGGAGAAGAAUUUAUGACGGUAUCCGAAGAAUAAGCAUCGGCUAACUCCGUGCCAGCAGCCGCGGUAAUACGGAGGAUGCAAGCGUUAUCCGGAAUUAUUGGGCGUAAAGCGUCUGCAGGUUGUGUAGUAAGUCUAUUGUUAAAUCUUAAGGCUCAACCUUAAAUCAGCGGUAGAAACUACUAUACUAGAGUAUAGUAAGGGUAAAGGGAAUUUUCAAUGUAGCGGUGAAAUGUGUAGAUAUUGAGAAGAACACCAGUGGCGAAAGCGCUUUACUAGACUAUUACUGACACUCAUAGACGAAAGCUAAGGGAGCAAAUGGGAUUAGAUACCCCCGUAGUCC
This 426-nucleotide ribosomal RNA is filed under the name uncultured prokaryote. RNAcentral describes it as "bacterial SSU rRNA". It matches the Rfam family "Bacterial small subunit ribosomal RNA", at positions 355 to 796 of the family's 1533-position model. The record is from RNAcentral.